GGCGCGCGACUCACCUUGCUGCUGGGCUCCAUGGCAGCGCUGCGCUGGUGGCUCUGGCUGCGCCGGGUACGCGGGUGGCGACGGGCGUGCGAGCGGCGCUCUCCCGCUCAGGCUCGUGCUCCGGUCCGGGGACUCCCACUGCGACUCUGACUCCGACCCCCGUCGUUUGGUCUCCUGCUCCCUGGCGUGCUCACUCGGGGACCCGCGACUAGCGACCGGCACGCUCGCUGUUGCUACCUCUUGCCUCUUGCCAGAGAGCGCGCGGACCGUAGCGUUUAUAGGACCCCGGCCAUUGGCUGGCGACGCCGGUGUGUCAGGGGUGUGUGGGCAGGACCUCGGGGCGGGGCCUGGGGCCCAGCCUGUCCUGGGCGGCGCUCUGCGGGGAGGGGGUGAGGGGAGUGGCCGGGGCCGGGGCCCCCCCUAACCACUGCCUCGCUCAGGCUGCCGAUCGGCUCGUUCUCUCUGCGUUGGGACCGCGGAGGGCAUUCGCUGUGUGACUCAGGGCAAGUGUGCGCACCUCUCUGAGCCUCCGCGGCCUUCUCUAGCAAAAUGGUGGAGCCGGUACCCGGCUGUAAGGCAAGCUGGGAUGCGCGGAGUAGCGGGUGGAAAGCUGGACUGGAGUUCUCACUCGGCCGCUGGGUGACUUCGGUGCACUAGGGAUAGUAACAGUACCACCUCGUAGGGUUGUAGAAAGACCAAGUGAGUUAAUAUUUGUAAAGUGUUUAGAACAGCGUCUACUGCAUGGAAAGUAGUAUUUAUUUGUUAGAGAGACUCCAGGAGGUCUUGCCCAGGGAUUGACUUCUCCCUUCCCUGUCUCCACCCCCCACAUUCCCGUUUGUGAGCCAAGCCUUGCUUUUGCACCGGCCGGGCUCUCUUGCCUGGAAAUGCAUACCCAUCUCAAACCUGGGCUUUAAAAUCACCUCCUCUGGGACGCCUUCCUCUACUUCUCACAGUUCAGGCCUGUUCUGCCCCACACAGCAGAAAAUGCCCACGAUGCAAUACCAGAGUCUGCAUGGGACCAUUUCAACAACCCUUAGAAGCUGACUCAGCUGUCUCCUGGCCCUGACUUUUCUAAGAUGAGAGGAGCUGGAACCCUCAAAGGCUGAGAGUAUCCCACCCACUUCACAGAUGAAGCAAACUGAGGCCCAGAGAAGGGAAAUUACUUGCCCAAGAUCACCCAGCAAGUAAGAAACAGAGCUGGAGAUGAGCUCAGGCCAGCACGGAACCACGCAAACUCCUUCUGUAGGCUUUGUAAAGGAUUGAUGAGAAAAGCAGAUGGUUAAGAGCUCUACAACUUCUGUGAGAUGGAGUCUCACCCUGUCGCCCAGGCUGGAGUGCAAUGGCGCAAUCUCGGCUCACUGCAACCUCCACCUCCCGGUUCAAGCGAUUCUCCUGCCUCCCGAGUAGCUGGGAUUACAGGUGCCCGCCACCACGCCUGGCUCAUUUUUUGUAUCUUCAGUAGAGACGGGGUUUCACCAUGUUGGCCAGGCUGGUCUCCAACUCCUGACCGCCCGCCUUGGCCUCCCAAAGUGCUGGGAUUACAGGCGUGAGCCACCACACCCAGCCAGAUCUGCCUCUUAGAACAAUGCUAUGGAAGUUGAUUUUGGGGAAUGGGUGGAAGAGGCAGAGGUCAGGCAGAGUGUUCAAUAAAGAGGAUCAGACAGGCCAGGUAGGAGAAGCUGAUGCCUAGCCUAGGACAGGGCAGGUAGCUCAGCAAGUGUGAGCACCUCUCAGUGUAAGAGCUGAGGUGGGAGAGGGGCAGAUGGGCUGUGGAGCUGGCCACACUAAAGGCAGCUGUGUGUUUGCAGGGCUCAGGACCAAAGGGAGGCUGAGUCAGGAAGGCACUCCUGGGCUUCUGGCUUGAGCAGGCUCAAAGUCAACAGAUGCAGCUGCAUCUGUGUCUAGCGAUUGGGAAGGUCCACAGCAGGACUCCAGCUCAUACCUGGGAGUCAGGGCAAAGUCCAGCCUAGGGAAGAGCCCCCAAGAGCCAGGCUGGGUGUCAGGUGGGGCCCUUGUCCUGAAGGGAGAAGAGACUACAAGGUAGAGCACCAAGCACACCUGGCUCUGGCACCUUUACGUCUCUGGCCACUUCUCUCUUAUGGCUCCCUGUAACAAUGAGAUACGGACACCUGGAGGCACCUGGGGCUAGUUUCUUCCUCAUACCUGCCCCGCUCCGAUGAGGCUCCCUCCAGGCUCCGCAUCUUGACUUAGUUACAACCUGAUCCUGAGCUGGGACCCAAGGGUGUCCUGCUCCUGGCUCCAAUCUCCUGGUGAGGAUGAACUUUGGUUUGGCUCCACCUGCUCAAGUGCCUUCGGAAGUGUGCCCACCUUGCCAGCCUCGUCAGAAUGCAGUCUCAGGAUGAUGAAAGAGUUCAGGAAAUGCCACCCCAAGGUACGUCACUUUGGACUUCAAACUGAGAGCAUUUGAGGAACAGCAAAUGCAGGGAGGGACUUUCUCUGAACUUCCCUUAUCUGCUUCAAGAUAAAUCCUCCAAAAGGAACUCAAUGGUUAUAACUCCCCUCCCCAGGAACCUCAUCAACCAGAGAAGAGUAAACUCAGAUCACAGGACAGGAGACUGGGGGUCAACACCACCCCCAGACAGACUUUAUCACAUAUCACCUAUUCUUCUGAAGGCCCAUUCAUCUUUCCUCCAAAUCAUUUACUCUCUCCUAAGUUGCCUGAACCCUCCCUCCGCUCACCCCCUUUAAGAGGUAUAUAUGCUCUCACUGAGGUUUAGGACAUUUGCUUUUCUUUCAUGUGAUGCCCCCAUGCAUGUAGUAUAUUUGUGUACCUUUUCUUCUGUAACUCUUUCUUCUACUGUCAGUUUAUUUCAUAGAGUCAAUUACCGAACCCUCAGAGGGUAGAGGGGAAAUCUUCCCUCCCCUGCAGUGAUGCUCUGGGACUGCCAGACACCUGGUGUCUAAUAGACACCAGAACUCACUCCCAACAGCCCAUUUGGGCAAUUAGUCGCUCAUAUGAUAAACAUUUUUUUAAACCCCCAAAGUGUACCAGUCCUUGGACUGAAAGCUGGAUUUACAAGGUCAAAUCAGAUUCAGUCCUUGUGAUAGAAGAGUUCAUAAUACAGUGGAGCCAAACGCAUGAAACAUAACACAGCCUAUUACAACACAACGCGACAUGACAGCUUCACACAUCCCAACACAGGAUACAAGGGCUCAGGUCUGGUUUCUAACUUCUGGGGCCUCAGCUGAGAAAAGGGCAGCUCCCAGUGAAAGGAGGCUUAUUAAUUAGGGAGGGAGCUUAUUGGAAUGUCAGCAGUGGAAUGCAGAGGGGAAGAGACUCUAAGUCAGACUAGCUGCUUCAGUCCUGGCACCAUAAUCUUGGAUGGAUGACAGAACUCUCUGUGCCUUAGUUUCCACAUCUACAAAAUGGAGAGAAUAAUAGUGUGUAUGUCAUAGGGCUUAAGGAUUAAUUGAGAUAAUACACGCAAAGUGCCUGGCACAGUGCCUAGAAGGUAUAGCAAGCACAAUAGCAUUAGCUGUGUGGUUCUUGUUGCCAUAGAAUUAUAGAACCUGAUUAUACUCUUAGGUUCUUGGAGUCAGAGAACUGUAGAAUCAUAGAACCCUAGGACCUUAGAACCUUAGACAUAGAGGUUUAUAAAUAUAUAUAAAUAUAACGUGCACCAGAAUAUUAGCUAGGAGGGUGAAGAAGGGAGAUCUCCCCAUUCCUUCAGAUUGAGGCGAAAUGUCCUCUAAUGCCUGAGUUCCAGGGCUGUCACAUUCAGUUGCUCAGGUUGUACCUAAUAUACCUCUAAAGAAGGCCAUUCACAUAGACUUCGAUGUGAAUGGAGUUCCUUAGACGCAGCAUGACAUGCACCAUUGCGUGAGAAAGCCCACAUUUCUCCCAGAGAAGUCGGCUAAGUCCCAGGGGGCUUACACUUAGUACCAUAAUCUCUGCCUCCAGCAAAACAUGCUGGCUUUGUCCUGAGCCACACUGACCUGAAUGUGAUGAAACUGAAACUUGGAUUCCAUAUAAAAAUAAAAUCACUCCUGCACGUUGUGCACAUGUACCCUAAAAUUUAAAGUAUAAUAAUAAUAAAGUUAAAAAAAUAAAAAUAAAAAAAUAAAAUCACUCUCCUUAAGCAUUCCCAAGAGCAGAUUACACAGAGGUCCAGAAUGUUCUGGAGAGGUAUCACAUCUUGUGAAGCACAGCUUAUUGCUACCCAGAUGUACAAUGAGAUGUGAGCUAUUCCUCCCUGACCUGUCAUCUUUCUGCUCACUUCUCUCCCUCCCUCCCAAUUUGCUCCUCAGGAGCCCAGGCAUAAGCUAUCCCAGGCUCUUGGUGGGGUCUUAACUCAAAGCCCUUAUCAAAGCAUUUUCCUCAACAAAAGUAGUUCCUUUUCCUAACAGGAAUUUGGGCCAUAUGUUUAGGUUGUAAUUUUUGUAUGCCUUAUCAUAUUUAGUGCCACUUAUAAAACCUGAGACUCACAGAAUUUUAAUAGCAAAUAAUCUAAGAAACAAAAAUUUUGGAAUAACCCAGCCUAAGGACCACAAGUUCUAAGAAUUGUGGAGAAUUUCAGAAUCCCAAAAAUCUUAACAAUUAGAAGAGGCCUUAAGGGGUCAUUGAGUCCACACCUUAUUCAACACAGGCAUCUCCUCUGCAACAUUGCUGGCAAGUGCUGAUACUGCCUCUGCAACAACAACAAAAAAGCAUACUUCUGAGAAAAAUUGGAAGACAGCUUGUUAUCUGAACUAUGCGUAGACUUGAAUAAUCUAUUUUUGUUUUUUUUGAGAUGGAGUUUCGCUCUUGUUGCCCAGGCUGGAGUGCAAAGGUGCGAUCUCAGCUCACCGCAACCUCCGCCUCCCAGGUUCAAGCGAUUCUCCUGCCUCAGCCUCCUGAGUAGCUGGAAUUACAGGCAUGCACCACCACACCCAGCUAAGUUUGUAUUUUUGGUAUUCUUUGUAUUUUUAGUUUCUCCACGUUGGUCAGGCUGGCCUCGAACUCCCACCCUCAGGUGAUCCACCUGCCUUGGCCUCCUAAAGUUCUGGGAUUACAGGCAUGAGCCACUGCACCCAACCUGAAUAAUCUAUUAGAGUCUUUAUCUCUAAGAAGAGAAAUACAUCUGAACUAAAGGGUAAAAAAUGGCAUGUUUUAAUUGGUAAGUCUAAAUGCAAAACGAUGACAAUAAAAUUUUAAAGGACUGCUUCCUUCUUAAGCUUUAUUUUCGUCCUCUGUCAGUGUAUUGCUAGACUCAUCUUUCCCAGACACCCAGACCUCCCACGAGAGUAUGUACAUUCCAUUUGGCUUGAUUUCAAGUGCUAAUGUAUAAAGCUUCUGGGUUCUGGGUCUGGCAAGCUAUUUCUCAUGUUCUCUGAUAAAAUAUUGAAAACCAUCUCUAAGGUCUUCCAAGAGGGGAUAUGUGGAAGAUACAUUUCAAUUUUCCACUGCAUUUCAACCUUAAUAUAAUGUGAUUAGCUACAGCAUUGAAAAUUAGCUUAAUACUGGCCCAUCUUAUUAUAGGGGCCAAGGAAAAACUUUCCCUUUAUCCUCUGAAGGUCCACUGUAAUCAACUGACACAAAAGGCAGAUUAAUAGAAGAAAAGGCAUAACCAUUUUAUUUUAAUGUACAUAGCACAGGAGAACUGAAGGAGAAUGAUUACCCUGCUAUCUUAAUUUAAUUCCAAUGUGGUCUGAGAGCAGACAUUGUAUGGUUUCUAUUAUUAUAAAUUGGUUAAGCUGUGCUUUAUGGCCCAGAAUGCAGCCUGUCUUAGUGAAUGUUCUGUGGGAGCUUGAGACGAAUGUGUUUUCUGCUGUUGCUGGAUGAAGUAUUCUAUAGACACCAAUUAUAUCCAGUUGAUUGAUGGUGUUGUUGAGUUCAACUAUGUUCUUACUGAUUUUCUGCCUGCUGAAUCUGUCCAUUUCUCAGAGGGAUGCUGAAGUCUUCAGCUAUACUAGUGGAUUCAUCUAUUUCUCCUUGUAGGUCUGUCAGUUUUUGCCUCCAUAGUUUGCUGCUCUGUUGUUAGGCACAUACCCAUUAAGGAUUUAACUAUGUCUUCUUGGAGAAUUGACCCAUUUAUCAUUAUGUAAUGUCUCUCUUUAUCCCUGAUAAUUUUCCUUGCUCAGAAGUCUGCUCUGAAAUGAAUAUCGCUACUCUCACAUUCUUUUCAUUAGUGUUAACCUGUUAUAUCUUUCUCCAUCUCUUUACUUUUAAUCUAUA
RNAcentral lists this long non-coding RNA (6175 nucleotides) under Homo sapiens (human). Its description in RNAcentral is "PREDICTED lncRNA (TCONS_00003438)". The record is from RNAcentral. Lineage: Eukaryota; Metazoa; Chordata; Mammalia; Primates; Hominidae.